UAAAAAAUAUAUGCAAGAAAAGAGUAUUUGAGAAAAAAAUAAAAAAUGGAGUAUAUAAAAGAAGAAUAUGAGAGAAAAAGAGAGAUUUUACAAAAAAGAGUAUGAAAGAGAGAGUGUGCAUAAGAAAGGAGUGUGAAUAAAAAAAAAUGUGAUAAAGAAAAAAAAAAAUGUGCAAGAAAUAAGAGUGUGAAAGAAAGAAAAAGAGAUUUUAUAAGAGAUGAGUGUGCCAAUAAAGAUUGUUUAAGAAAAAGAAAGAGAGAGUAUACAAGAAAAGAAUGUGAUAAAAAAAAG
Molecule: long non-coding RNA, 291 nt
Filed under: Physcomitrium patens
Lineage: Eukaryota; Viridiplantae; Streptophyta; Bryopsida; Funariales; Funariaceae
Description: long non-coding RNA (PPAT_LNC013041)
Source: RNAcentral